RNAcentral lists this ribosomal RNA (532 nucleotides) under uncultured bacterium. RNAcentral's name for it is "bacterial SSU rRNA". It matches the Rfam family "Bacterial small subunit ribosomal RNA", at positions 536 to 1064 of the family's 1533-position model. The record is from RNAcentral.
GAGCGUUAAUCGGAAUUACUGGGCGUAAAGCGUGCGCAGGCGGUUUUGUAAGACAGGCGUGAAAUCCCCGGGCUCAACCUGGGAACUGCGCUUGUGACUGCAAGGCUAGAGUACGGCAGAGGGGGGUGGAAUUCCACGUGUAGCAGUGAAAUGCGUAGAGAUGUGGAGGAACACCAAUGGCGAAGGCAGCCCCCUGGGUCGAUACUGACGCUCAUGCACGAAAGCGUGGGUAGCAAACAGGAUUAGAUACCCUGGUAGUCCACGCCCUAAACGAUGUCAACUAGGUGUUGGGUGGGUAAAACCAUUUAGUACCGUAGCUAACGCGUGAAGUUGACCGCCUGGGGAGUACGGCCGCAAGGUUAAAACUCAAAGGAAUUGACGGGGACCCGCACAAGCGGUGGAUGAUGUGGAUUAAUUCGAUGCAACGCGAAAAACCUUACCUACCCUUGACAUGUCAGAAACUUGGCAGAGAUGCCUUGGUGCCCGAAAGGGAAUCUGAACACAGGUGCUGCAUGGCUGUCGUCAGCUCGUG